RNAcentral lists this ribosomal RNA (254 nucleotides) under uncultured bacterium. RNAcentral's name for it is "partial 16S ribosomal RNA". It matches the Rfam family "Bacterial small subunit ribosomal RNA", at positions 524 to 776 of the family's 1533-position model. The record is from RNAcentral.
UACGGAGGGUGCAAGCGUUAUCCGGAUUCACUGGGUUUAAAGGGUGCGUAGGUGGGUUGGUAAGUCAGUGGUGAAAUCUCCGAGCUUAACUUGGAAACUGCCAUUGAUACUAUCAGUCUUGAAUAUUGUGGAGGUCAGCGGAAUAUGUCAUGUAGCGGUGAAAUGACUUAGAUAUGACAUAGAACACCAAUUGCGAAGGCAGCUGGCUACGCAUAUAUUGACACUGAGGCACGAAAGCGUGGGGAUCAAACAGG